GGAAUAUUGGACAAUGGGCGCAAGCCUGAUCCAGCCAUGCCGCGUGUGUGAAGAAGGCCUUCGGGUUGUAAAUCACUUUUGUUGGGGAAGAAACAGCGCAGGUUAAUCACCGUCGUGAAUGACGGUACCCACAGAAUAAGCACAGGCUAACUUCGUGCCAGCAGCCCCGGUAAUACGAAGGGUGCAAGCGUUACUCGGAAUUACUGGGCGUAAAGCGUGCGUAGGCGGUUUGUUAAGUCUGAUGUGAAAGCCCCGGGCUCAACCUGGGAAUGGCAUUGGAUACUGGCAGGCUAGAAUGUGGUAGAGGGUGGUGGAAUUCCCGGUGUAGCGGUGAAAUGCGUAGAGAUCGGGAGGAACAUCCGUGGCGAAGGCGGCCACCUGGACCAACAUUGACGCUGAGGCACGAAAGCGUGGGGAGCAAAC
Molecule: ribosomal RNA, 423 nt
Filed under: uncultured bacterium
Lineage: Bacteria
Description: bacterial SSU rRNA
Rfam family: Bacterial small subunit ribosomal RNA
Source: RNAcentral